UACGAAGGGGGCUAGCGUUGUUCGGAAUCACUGGGCGUAAAGCGCACGUAGGCGGAUGUGCCAGUCAGGGGUGAAAUCCCGGAGCUCAACUCCGGAACUGCCUCUGAUACAGCACGUCUUGAGUUCGAGAGAGGUGGGUGGAAUUCCUAGUGUAGAGGUGAAAUUCGUAGAUAUUAGGAAGAACACCAGUGGCGAAGGCGGCUCACUGGUCCGGUACUGACGCUGAGGUGCGAAAGCGUGGGGAGCAAACAGG
This 253-nucleotide ribosomal RNA is filed under the name uncultured bacterium. Its description in RNAcentral is "partial 16S ribosomal RNA". It matches the Rfam family "Bacterial small subunit ribosomal RNA", at positions 524 to 776 of the family's 1533-position model. The record is from RNAcentral.